Molecule: ribosomal RNA, 213 nt
Filed under: uncultured bacterium
Lineage: Bacteria
Description: partial 16S ribosomal RNA
Rfam family: Bacterial small subunit ribosomal RNA
Source: RNAcentral
CUCAGUUCGGAUUGUAGUCUGCAACUCGACUACAUGAAGCUGGAAUCGCUAGUAAUCGCGAAUCAGAAUGUCGCGGUGAAUACGUUCCCGGGUCUUGUACACACCGCCCGUCACACCAUGAGAGUCGGGAACACCCGAAGUCCGUAGUCUAACCGCAAGGGGGCGCGGCCGAAGGUGGGUCCGGUAAUUGGGGUGAAGUCGUAACAAGGUAAC